This is a small nuclear RNA of Sarcophilus harrisii (Tasmanian devil), 105 nucleotides long. The record is from Ensembl. Lineage: Eukaryota; Metazoa; Chordata; Mammalia; Dasyuromorphia; Dasyuridae.
GUGCUCGCUUCAGCAGUACAUAUAUUAACACUGAAAUGAUACAGAGGAGAUUAACUGGCCCUGUGCAAGGAUAACAGGCAGAUUUGUGAAGUAAAAAAUGGAUCA